Falco peregrinus (peregrine falcon) is the source of this 514-nucleotide long non-coding RNA. RefSeq lists it as uncharacterized. The transcript is spliced from 3 exons. The record is from RefSeq and is a predicted model, not a curated record. Lineage: Eukaryota; Metazoa; Chordata; Aves; Falconiformes; Falconidae.
AAUAUUUUUCAUUCCCACUAUACAGUUGCUCUGUCUUGCCCUCACAUGAACCCAAGUUGCUAAAUUCAGAAAGGACCUGUGAAAUCUGUCUUAGACCUCCAAGUCCUCCACACGUACUGCCUAGUUAAACACAGCAUUUAUGCCAGAGACCUGGAAGAAGAUAAAAGUCAUGCUUCCUUGCCUGUCUUCAGUGGACAGUAUCACCUGAGUUAACCUGUGUAGCUGUGUAAAGAGGAGAUAUUCAGUUGGCAUAAGGAGGAAUACCAGUAUGCAACUGCUUCCUUGGUGUCUGCCCCUUCAGAAGGUGCAAGAAAAUCCUCAUAUCUGCUCCGUGCUGACUCCUGGAUGUUGAUCCUCGUUCUGUUAGAGUUUCAACCACAGUUCAGGAAACAAGCUCCCAGGAAGAGAACUGAGUGACUGAGGCUCACUUAGAGGUGCCUGAACUGAGGUUCCCUUGUCGCUCCGGCCUGACCCUUGUCAGCAGUGUGGCCAGCAGCAGCCCUCCCUGGGACAG